Thalassophryne amazonica is the source of this 519-nucleotide long non-coding RNA. RefSeq lists it as uncharacterized. The transcript has 3 exons. The record is from RefSeq and is a predicted model, not a curated record. Lineage: Eukaryota; Metazoa; Chordata; Actinopteri; Batrachoidiformes; Batrachoididae.
GGCAAUAACUGGGUCCAAGACCAAUUGAAGGGCAUCAGUCAUAGCGAUAGAGAACUUUAACCCCUGUAUCAAUUGCUUUCAAUGUCCAUGUUGUUCAUAGAUCAUUUUUAAGGUCUUGGUAUUUUGUUUUUGUGUCUUGAGCCUAGAGUGCAACUUUAGACCUCUGGUCCUGGGCCCACUGCAUUCUGCAUUUGUGCGUCCUGUAUGAAUAAUCAUGUGAGUGUUCAGGUGGCUCUUUUGUCCAAAUCUUUGACUACACUGAGAACAGACAAAUGCUUUUUGCCCUGUAUGAAUUAUCAUGUGUGUUUUCAGGUUGUCUUUUCGUCCAAAUCUUUUACCACACUCAGAACAGACAAAUGGUUUUUGUCCGGUAUGAAUUAUCCUGUGUGUGUUCAGGUUGCCCUUUUGUCCAAAUCGUUGACCACACUCAGAGCAGACAAAUGCUUUUUGCCCUGUAUGAAUUAUCAUGUGUGUGCUCAGGUUGCUCUUUUGUCCAAAUGUUUUACCACACUGAGAACA